UGGGGAAUUUUGGACAAUGGGGGAAACCCUGAUCCAGCAAUGCCGCGUGUGUGACGAAGGCCUUCGGGUUGUAAAGCACUUUUGGCGGGAACGAAAAAGAACCUGUUAAUACCGGGUUCGAAUGACGGUACCCGCAGAAUAAGCACCGGCUAACUACGUGCCAGCAGCCGCGGUAAUACGUAGGGUGCAAGCGUUAAUCGGAAUUACUGGGCGUAAAGCGUGCGCAGGCGGCUUUGUAAGACAGGCGUGAAAUCCCCGGGCUUAACCUGGGAACUGCGCUUGUGACUGCAAGACUAGAGUGUGUCAGAGGGAGGUGGAAUUCCGCGUGUAGCAGUGAAAUGCGUAGAGAUGCGGAGGAACACCGAUGGCGAAGGCAGCCUCCUGGGAUAACACUGACGCUCAUGCACGAAAGCGUGGGGAGCAAACAGG
RNAcentral lists this ribosomal RNA (429 nucleotides) under uncultured bacterium. RNAcentral's name for it is "bacterial SSU rRNA". It matches the Rfam family "Bacterial small subunit ribosomal RNA", at positions 355 to 776 of the family's 1533-position model. The record is from RNAcentral.